GCAGUGGUGGCUUCGUGGUUAAAAGCUUUGGGUUAUUAAUCAGAAGGUUAGGAGUUCAAGCCCCAGCACUGCA
This is a non-coding RNA of Ameiurus melas (black bullhead), 73 nucleotides long. NCBI's taxonomy places the organism in Eukaryota, Metazoa, Chordata, Actinopteri, Siluriformes, Ictaluridae. The record is from the annotation of a GenBank genome assembly.